AGGGUGAUCUGGCUGCGACAUCUGUCACCCCAUUGAUCGCCAGGGUUGAUCCGGCUGAUCUGGCUGGCUAGGCGGGUGUCCCCUUCCUCGCU
This 92-nucleotide small RNA is filed under the name Podarcis lilfordi (Lilford's wall lizard). Its description in RNAcentral is "7SK RNA". It matches the Rfam family "7SK RNA", at positions 8 to 99 of the family's 331-position model. From Rfam's summary of the family: 7SK was discovered as an abundant small nuclear RNA in the mid-70s but a possible function has only recently been suggested. Two independent studies have found that 7SK RNA binds the CDK9/cyclin T complex (known as elongation factor P-TEFb). The record is from Rfam by way of RNAcentral. Lineage: Eukaryota; Metazoa; Chordata; Lepidosauria; Squamata; Lacertidae.